RNAcentral lists this transfer RNA (71 nucleotides) under Cordylochernes scorpioides. RNAcentral's name for it is "tRNA-Cys". Lineage: Eukaryota; Metazoa; Arthropoda; Arachnida; Pseudoscorpiones; Chernetidae. The record is from RNAcentral.
UGCAUUGGCAGGGAAUCGAACCCGGGCCGCCCGCGUUGCAGGCGAGCAUUCUACCACUGAACCACCGAUGC